UACGUAGGUGGCAAGCGUUGUCCGGAUUUACUGGGUGUAAAGGGCGUGUAGCCGGGUUGACAAGUCAGAUGUGAAAUCCUGCGGCUUAACCGCAGAACUGCAUUUGAAACUGUUGAUCUUGAGUACUGGAGAGGCAGACGGAAUUCCUAGUGUAGCGGUGAAAUGCGUAGAUAUUAGGAGGAACACCAGUGGCGAAGGCGACUUUCUGGACAGUAACUGACGUUGAGGCACGAAAGUGUGGGGAGCAAACAGG
RNAcentral lists this ribosomal RNA (253 nucleotides) under uncultured Eubacteriales bacterium. Its description in RNAcentral is "uncultured Clostridiales bacterium partial 16S ribosomal RNA". It matches the Rfam family "Bacterial small subunit ribosomal RNA", at positions 524 to 776 of the family's 1533-position model. The record is from RNAcentral. Lineage: Bacteria; Bacillati; Bacillota; Clostridia; Eubacteriales.